Molecule: ribosomal RNA, 269 nt
Filed under: uncultured prokaryote
Description: partial 16S ribosomal RNA
Rfam family: Bacterial small subunit ribosomal RNA
Source: RNAcentral
UACGGAGGAUCCGAGCGUUAUCCGGAUUUAUUGGGUUUAAAGGGUGCGCAGGCGGGAGAUUAAGUCGGCGGUGAAAUUUUGCAGCUCAACUGUAAAAGUGCCUUCGAAACUGGUUUCCUUGAGUGUGGAUGAAGUAGGCGGAAUUUGUGGUGUAGCGGUGAAAUGCAUAGAUAUCACGAGGAACUCCGAUUGCGCAGGCAGCUUACUAAGCCAUAACUGACGCUCAGGCACGAAGGCGUGGGGAUCAAACAGGAUUAGAUACCCCGGUA